AUUGAACGCUGGCGGCAGGCCUAACACAUGCAAGUCGAGCGGAUGAAGGGAGCUUGCUCCUGGAUUCAGCGGCGGACGGGUGAGUAAUGCCUAGGAAUCUGCCUGGUAGUGGGGGAUAACGUCCGGAAACGGGCGCUAAUACCGCAUACGUCCUGAGGGAGAAAGUGGGGGAUCUUCGGACCUCACGCUAUCAGAUGAGCCUAGGUCGGAUUAGCUAGUUGGUGGGGUAAAGGCCUACCAAGGCGACGAUCCGUAACUGGUCUGAGAGGAUGAUCAGUCACACUGGAACUGAGACACGGUCCAGACUCCUACGAGAGGCAGCAGUGGGGAAUAUUGGACAAUGGGCGAAAGCCUGAUCCAGCCAUGCCGCGUGUGUGAAGAAGGUCUUCGGAUUGUAAAGCACUUUAAGUUGGAAGGAAGGGCAGUAAGUUAAUACCUUGCUGUUUUGACGUUACCAACAGAAUAAGCACCGGCUAACUUCGUG
RNAcentral lists this ribosomal RNA (484 nucleotides) under uncultured bacterium. RNAcentral's name for it is "partial 16S ribosomal RNA". It matches the Rfam family "Bacterial small subunit ribosomal RNA", at positions 30 to 507 of the family's 1533-position model. The record is from RNAcentral.